Molecule: ribosomal RNA, 418 nt
Filed under: uncultured bacterium
Lineage: Bacteria
Description: bacterial SSU rRNA
Rfam family: Bacterial small subunit ribosomal RNA
Source: RNAcentral
GGAAUAUUGGACAAUGGGCGCAAGCCUGAUCCAGCCAUCCAGCGUGCAGGAAGAAGGCCCUAUGGGUUGUAAACUGCUUUUAUCAGGGAAGAAACCUCUGGAUUUACUCCGGAGCUGACGGUACUUGAAGAAUAAGCACCGGCGAACUCCGUGCCAGCAGCCGCGGUAAUACGGAGGGUGCGAGCGUUAUCCGGAAUUACUGGGUUUAAAGGGUGCGUAGGCGGCUUUGUAAGUCAGGAGUGAAAGUUUGCGGCUCAACCGUAAAAUUGCUUUUGAUACUGCAUGGCUCGAAUCAGGAUGAGGUUAGCGGAAUGUGGCAUGUAGCGGUGAAAUGCAUAAAUAUGCCAUAGAACACCAAUUGCGAAGGCAGCUGGCUAGACCUGUAUUGACGCUGAGGCACGAAAGCGUGGGGAGCGAA